RNAcentral lists this ribosomal RNA (274 nucleotides) under uncultured bacterium. Its description in RNAcentral is "partial 16S ribosomal RNA". It matches the Rfam family "Bacterial small subunit ribosomal RNA", at positions 523 to 796 of the family's 1533-position model. The record is from RNAcentral.
AUACGGGGGGGACGAGCGUUGUUCGGAUUCACUGGGCGUAAAGGGCGUGUAGGCGGAUUAGCAAGUCAGAUGUGAAAACCAGCGGCUUAACCACUGGCCUGCAUCUGAUACUGCUAAUCUUGAGUACGGGAGAGGAAGGUGGAAUUCCAGGUGUAGCGGUGACAUGCGUAGAUAUCUGGAAGAACACCGGCGGCGAAGGCGGCCUUCUGGACCGAUACUGACGCUGAGGCGCGAAAGCUAGGGGAGCAAACAGGAUUAGAAACCCUAGUAGUCC